This 307-nucleotide long non-coding RNA is filed under the name Ananas comosus (pineapple). RNAcentral's name for it is "long non-coding RNA (ACOM_LNC034181)". Lineage: Eukaryota; Viridiplantae; Streptophyta; Magnoliopsida; Poales; Bromeliaceae. The record is from RNAcentral.
UGGCAGUAGCCCUUGAGCAUUGCUAGGUGCGAAGCGUGCCAGGGAUCACUCGUGGGACUGAUGACUCGCACUAGGUGCAUAGGAGCCGAUAUUGGUGAGUGUGACUCGGUAGAGUAUGUCGUGUAGGACGACGACGGUGGGUAGUACUUGGAGACGACCCGUGCCUGGACCAUUAGUGGACUGUGGAGCCUGGGCCCUUUGGGCAGGCGCAGUCAGCUGUGAGUGACAGCGGCCCGACACCUACGGGUAGGGCAGAGUUCUGGUCAGGACGGUAGUCCGAGCUUAGACCCGGGAGCGUGGAAUGCUA